RNAcentral lists this ribosomal RNA (253 nucleotides) under uncultured bacterium. RNAcentral describes it as "partial 16S ribosomal RNA". It matches the Rfam family "Bacterial small subunit ribosomal RNA", at positions 524 to 776 of the family's 1533-position model. The record is from RNAcentral.
UACAGAGGGGGCAAGCGUUGUUCGGAAUUACUGGGCGUAAAGGGCGCGUAGGCGGCCCGCUAAGUCGAACGUGAAAUCCCCGAGCUCAACUCGGGAACUGCGUCCGAUACUGGUGGGCUUGAAUCCGGGAGAGGGAUGCGGAAUUCCAGGUGUAGCGGUGAAAUGCGUAGAUAUCUGGAGGAACACCGGUGGCGAAGGCGGCAUCCUGGACCGGCAUUGACGCUGAGGAGCGAAAGCCAGGGGAGCAAACGGG